Molecule: ribosomal RNA, 451 nt
Filed under: uncultured bacterium
Lineage: Bacteria
Description: bacterial SSU rRNA
Rfam family: Bacterial small subunit ribosomal RNA
Source: RNAcentral
AGCGAACGCUGGCGGCAGGCUUAACACAUGCAAGUCGAGCGCCCGUAGCAAUACGGGAGCGGCAGACGGGUGAGUAACACGUGGGAACGUGCCUUUUGGUUCGGAACAACUGAGGGAAACUUCAGCUAAUACCGGAUAAGCCCUUACGGGGAAAGAUUUAUCGCCAAAAGAUCGGCCCGCGUCUGAUUAGCUAGUUGGUGGGGUAAUGGCCCACCAAGGCUACGAUCAGUAGCUGGUCUGAGAGGAUGAUCAGCCACACUGGGACUGAGACACGGCCCAGACUCCUACGGGAGGCAGCAGUGGGGAAUCUUGGACAAUGGGCGCAAGCCUGAUCCAGCCAUGCCGCGUGAGUGAUGAAGGCCUUAGGGUUGUAAAGCUCUUUCAGCGGGGGAAGAUAAUGACGGUACCCGCAGAAGAACGCCCCGGCUAACUUCGUGCCAGCCGCCGCCGU